AUCUUGGAUUAAGACUCAUGGCUGGCUUGGAACGAUACAGAGAAGAUUUGCAUUCCUGUGCAAGGAUAUAUGCGAAUUUGUGAAGCGUUCCAGAUGCUU
Panthera leo (lion) is the source of this 99-nucleotide small nuclear RNA. NCBI's taxonomy places the organism in Eukaryota, Metazoa, Chordata, Mammalia, Carnivora, Felidae. The record is from Ensembl.